GCAUAGCUCAGUCAGUAGAGCAUGAGACUCUUAAUCUCAGGGUGAUGGAUAUGAGCCCCAUGUUGAGCA
Molecule: non-coding RNA, 69 nt
Organism: Podarcis lilfordi (Lilford's wall lizard)
Lineage: Eukaryota; Metazoa; Chordata; Lepidosauria; Squamata; Lacertidae
Source: the annotation of a GenBank genome assembly